RNAcentral lists this ribosomal RNA (375 nucleotides) under uncultured organism. RNAcentral's name for it is "partial 16S ribosomal RNA". It matches the Rfam family "Bacterial small subunit ribosomal RNA", at positions 527 to 896 of the family's 1533-position model. The record is from RNAcentral.
GUAGGUGGCAAGCGUUGUCCGGAAUUAUUGGGCGUAAAGCGCGCGCAGGCGGUUCUUUAAGUCUGAUGUGAAAGCCCACGGCUCAACCGUGGAGGGUCAUUGGAAACUGGAGAACUUGAGUACAGAAGAGGAAAGCGGAGUUCCACGUGUAGCGGUGAAAUGCGUAGAGAUGUGGAGGAACACCAGUGGCGAAGGCGGCUUUCUGGUCUGUAACUGACGCUGAGGCGCGAAAGCGUGGGGAGCAAACAGGAUUAGAUACCCUGGUAGUCCACGCCGUAAACGAUGAGUGCUAAGUGUUAGGGGGGUUUUCCGCCCCCCUUAGUGCUGCAGCUAACGCAUUAAGCACUCCGCCCUGGGAGUACGGCCGCAAGGCUG